This 533-nucleotide ribosomal RNA is filed under the name Nothrotheriops shastensis (Shasta ground sloth). RNAcentral's name for it is "12S ribosomal RNA". It matches the Rfam family "Bacterial small subunit ribosomal RNA", at positions 798 to 1525 of the family's 1533-position model. The record is from RNAcentral. Lineage: Eukaryota; Metazoa; Chordata; Mammalia; Pilosa; Megatheriidae.
AGCCCUAAACCAAGACAUUUAAUAAACCAAAAUGGUUCGCCAGAGUACUACUAGCAACAGCUUAAAACUCAAAGGACUUGGCGGUGCUUCACAACCCCCCUAGAGGAACCUGUCCUAUAAUCGACAAACCCCGAUAAACCUCACCAUCCCUGGCCAACACAGCCUAUAUACCGCCAUCCCCAGCAAACCUUAAAGAGCACCAUAGUAAGCACAAUUAUUACUCAUAAGCACGUUAGGUCAAGGUGUAGCCCAUGAGGUGGAAAGAGAUGGGUUACAUUUUCUUACAAAAGAAAAAUCAACGAAAGUUUCUAUGAAACCCCAGAAACCGAAGGAGGAUUUAGAAGUAAUUUAAGAAUAGAGAGCUUAACUGAACUGGGCCAUGAAGCACGCCCACCCCAUCAUCCAAUCCACAACCCUCCUCCAUACUAACGAUCAUCAGCAAACAUAUUGCCCACAUCACAGGCACCCCAUAGAGGAGACAAGUCGUAACAAGGUAAGCAUACUGGAAAGUGUGCUUGGAAUAAUCAAAGUGU